CAGCAGCCACGGUAAAACGAAGGGGGCUAGCGUUGCUCGGAAUCACUGGGCGUAAAGGGUGCGUAGGCGGGUCUUUAAGUCAGAGGUGAAAUCCUGGAGCUCAACUCCAGAACUGCCUUUGAUACUGAGGAUCUUGAGUUCGGGAGAGGUGAGUGGAACUGCGAGUGUAGAGGUGAAAUUCGUAGAUAUUCGCAGGAACACCAGUGGCGAAGGCGGCUCACUGGCCCGAUACUGACGCUGAGGCACGAAAGCGUGGGGAGCAAACAGGAUUAGAUACCCCAGUAGUCCCUGUCUCUUAUAC
This 301-nucleotide ribosomal RNA is filed under the name uncultured bacterium. RNAcentral's name for it is "partial 16S ribosomal RNA". It matches the Rfam family "Bacterial small subunit ribosomal RNA", at positions 509 to 807 of the family's 1533-position model. The record is from RNAcentral.